ACAUGCAAGUCGAACGCAACCUUCGGGUUGAGUGGCGGACGGGUGAGUAACGCGUGAGAAUCUGCCUUGGGGUCGGGGACAACCACUGGAAACGGUGGCUAAUACCGGAUAAGCCUUUGGGUAAAAGAUUUAUUGCCCCAAGAGGAGCUCGCGUCUGAUUAGCUAGUUGGUGAGGUAAGAGCUCACCAAGGCAGCGAUCAGUAGCCGGUCUGAGAGGACGAUCAGCCACACUGGGACUGAGACACGGCCCAGACUCCUACGGGAGGCAGCAGUGGGGAAUUUUCCGCAAUGGGCGAAAGCCUGACGGAGCAAGACCGCGUGAGGGAGGAAGGCUCUUGGGUUGUAAACCUCUUUUCUCAGGGAAGAAGCUCUGACGGUACCUGAGGAAUCAGCCUCGGCUAACUCCGUGCCAGCAGCCGCGGUAAUACGGAGGAGGCAAGCGUUAUCCGGAAUUAUUGGGCGUAAAGCGUCCGCAGGUGGCGAUUCAAGUCUGCUGUCAAAGCACGGGGCUUAACUCCGUUAAGGCAGUGGAAACUGAAUAGCUAGAGUGCCGUAGGGGUAGAGGGAAUUCCCGGUGUAGCGGUGAAAUGCGUAGAGAUCGGGAAGAACAUCGGUGGCGAAAGCGCUCUACUGGACGGCAACUGACACUCAGGGACGAAAGCUAGGGGAGCGAAUGGGAUUAGAUACCCCAGUAGUCCUAGCUGUAAACGAUGGAUACUAGGUGUAGCUUGUAUCGACCCGAGCUGUGCCGAAGCUAACGCGUUAAGUAUCCCGCCUGGGGAGUACGCACGCAAGUGUGAAACUCAAAGGAAUUGACGGGGGCCCGCACAAGCGGUGGAGUAUGUGGUUUAAUUCGAUGCAACGCGAGGAACCUUACCAGGGCUUGACAUGUCCGGAAUCCCGGUGAAAGCUGGGAAGUGCCUUCGGGAGCCGGAACACAGGUGGUGCAUGGGUGUCGUCAGCUCGUGUCG
Molecule: ribosomal RNA, 971 nt
Filed under: uncultured organism
Description: bacterial SSU rRNA
Rfam family: Bacterial small subunit ribosomal RNA
Source: RNAcentral